UACGUAGGUGGCAAGCGUUGUCCGGAAUUAUUGGGCGUAAAGAGCUCGUAGGCGGUGUGUCACGUCGAUCGUGAAAACUUGGGGCUUAACUCUGAGCUUGCGGUCGAUACGGGCAUCACUGGAGUUCGGCAGGGGAGACUGGAAUUCCUGGUGUAGCGGUGAAAUGCGCAGAUAUCAGGAGGAACACCGGUGGCGAAGGCGGGUCUCUGGGCCGAUACUGACGCUGAGGAGCGAAAGCGUGGGGAGCGAACAGG
Molecule: ribosomal RNA, 254 nt
Filed under: uncultured bacterium
Lineage: Bacteria
Description: partial 16S ribosomal RNA
Rfam family: Bacterial small subunit ribosomal RNA
Source: RNAcentral